Molecule: long non-coding RNA, 586 nt
Organism: Poeciliopsis prolifica (blackstripe livebearer)
Lineage: Eukaryota; Metazoa; Chordata; Actinopteri; Cyprinodontiformes; Poeciliidae
Exons: 4
Source: RefSeq, a predicted model, not a curated record
GAGAGCCUGAGCGGGACGUGAGACUGAUGUGAGCCCAUAAAUCAGUGUGAACAUAGAAAAACAUUUUGUAUGUGCUUGACUCUGCAUCUGUCAGCUAAUGUGCCACCAGCCAGUCACAGACAGCUCUUUUUCAUCCAGCUAGGCGAUUCCUGUUUGGAUAAAUAACAGCCAAUUAGAGCACAGCACCAAGUGGCAUAAAUUACCAAACAAACUGAGAAUAUCCAGCUUGGCCGUACACAGUGGAUCCAUUGCUUUCAUGAGCUGAAUAUUUCCUCUUACUGAUGUCGAACAGUUUUGCAGUAAGAAGCUAAACGUUACACCAGACUGAAACCGCCCUUCCAGUGCAUGCGCUAGUUCAUUCGGGUAUUCUCACUCACCAACAUCAAACAUAUGCAGGAUAAUUAUGGCAUGGAUGGAGAGCCCAUCUGAGGACGAUGAAAGGUGAUCAUGCUGAGUCAGUCGGCAUGUGGGCCGGUUCGAAGUGAAGCCGAGAGGAGGAGGAGAGGAAGUUUAACAGACAAGUAACAGUGGAUGAAUAAGAAAUGAAUCCCAGUGGAGAUCACCUGCUGGAAUAAUCAGCGUUCAU